GACGAACGCUGGCGGCGUGCCUAAUACAUGCAAGUAGAACGCACAGUUUAUACCGUAGCUUGCUACACCAUAGACUGUGAGUUGCGAACGGGUGAGUAACGCGUAGGUAACCUGCCUGGUAGCGGGGGAUAACUAUUGGAAACGAUAGCUAAUACCGCAUAAUAUUAAUUAUUGCAUGAUAAUUAAUUGAAAGGUGCAAUUGCACCACUACCAGAUGGACCUGCGUUGUAUUAGCUAGUAGGUGAGGUAACGGCUCACCUAGGCGACGAUACAUAGCCGACCUGAGAUGGUGAUCGGCCACACUGGGACUGAGACACGGCACAGACUCCUACGGGAGGCAGCAGUAGGGAAUCUUCGGCAAUGGACGAAAGUCUGACCGAGAAACGCCGCGGGAGUGAAGAAGGGUUUCGGAUCGUAAAGCUCGGUUGUAAGGGAAGAACGGGUGUGAGAGUGGAAAGUUCACACUGUGACGGUAUCUUACCAGAAAGGGACGGCUAACUACGUG
Molecule: ribosomal RNA, 505 nt
Filed under: uncultured bacterium
Lineage: Bacteria
Description: partial 16S ribosomal RNA
Rfam family: Bacterial small subunit ribosomal RNA
Source: RNAcentral